CCUACGGGCGGCAGCAGUGGGGAAUAUUGGACAAUGGGCGAAAGCCUGAUCCAGCCAUGCCGCGUGUGUGAAGAAGGCCUUCGGGUUGUAAAGCACUUUCAGUGGGGAAGAAAGCCUUGGGGCUAAUACCCUCGAGGAAGGACAUCACCCACAGAAGAAGCACCGGCUAACUCCGUGCCAGCAGCCGCGGUAAUACGGAGGGUGCGAGCGUUAAUCGGAAUUACUGGGCGUAAAGCGCGCGUAGGCGGUCUGAUAAGCCGGUUGUGAAAGCCCCGGGCUCAACCUGGGAACGGCAUCCGGAACUGUCAGGCUAGAGUGCAGGAGAGGAAGGUAGAAUUCCCGGUGUAGCGGUGAAAGGCGUAGAGAUCGGGAGGAAUACCAGUGGCGAAGGCGGCCUUCUGGACUGACACUGACGCUGAGGUGCGAAAGCGUGGGUAGCAAACAGGAUUAGAUACCCCAGUAGUC
RNAcentral lists this ribosomal RNA (465 nucleotides) under Vreelandella stevensii. Its description in RNAcentral is "partial 16S ribosomal RNA". It matches the Rfam family "Bacterial small subunit ribosomal RNA", at positions 338 to 795 of the family's 1533-position model. Lineage: Bacteria; Pseudomonadati; Pseudomonadota; Gammaproteobacteria; Oceanospirillales; Halomonadaceae. The record is from RNAcentral.